Molecule: transfer RNA, 66 nt
Filed under: Thienemanniella majuscula
Lineage: Eukaryota; Metazoa; Arthropoda; Insecta; Diptera; Chironomidae
Description: tRNA-Trp
Source: RNAcentral
AAAGUUUUAAGUUAAAUAAACUAUUAACCUUCAAAGUUAAAAAUAAAAAUAAUUUUUUAAACUUUA